GAGUUUGAUCCUGGCUCAGGACGAACGCUGGCGGCGCGCUUAAUACAUGCAAGUCGAACGGUGAACGGGGCUUCGGCCCCGGGAUCAGUGGCGAACGGGUGCGUAACACGUGGGCAACCUGCCCCUCACUCUGGGAUACCCCCGGGAAACCGGAGCUAAUACCGGAUACUCCGACCGAACCGCAUGGCUCGAUCGGGAAAGGUCCGCCGGUGAGGGAUGGGCCCGCGGCCUAUCAGCUUGUUGGUGGGGUAACGGCCCACCAAGGCUUCGACGGGUAGCUGGUCUGAGAGGACGACCAGCCACACUGGGACUGAGAUACGGCCCAGACUCCUACGGGAGGCAGCAGUAGGGAAUCUUGCGCAAUGGGCGAAAGCCUGACGCAGCGACGCCGCGUGGGGGACGAAGGCCCUCGGGUUGUAAACCCCUUUCGGCAGGGACGAAGCGAUCGUGACGGUACCUGCAGAAGAAGCCUCGGCUAACUACGUGCCAGCAGCCGCGGUAAGACGUAGGAGGCGAGCGUUGUCCGGAUUCAUUGGGCGUAAAGAGCACGCAGGCGGUUUGGCAAGUCGGAUGUGAAAACCCGGAGCUCAACUCCGGACCUGCAUCCGAAACUGCCCGACUAGAGGUAGGUAGGGGAGAUCGGAAUUCCUGGUGUAGCGGUGAAAUAGCAGAUAUCAGGACGGACUGAUAUGCGACGCGGAUAGCUGGAACGUACACGACUUCAGUGCAAAGUAUAGGGGAGCGAUCAGGAUUAGAGCCUUGGUAGUGAUAGUCGUAUACGGCCCAGAGAUGGUGUGGGCGGAUAUCAUGUUCCGUCCGAUAUGAAGCGCAACGCAUUAAGCCACCAGGAUGGGGAGUCUCCCCGCAAGGCUAAAAGUCAAACAAAUUGACGGGCAGGUCCGCAAGCGACGUACCAUUUUUCACAUUUGGAUGCGCAAAGAAGAACCUUACUUGGUCCUGACAUGCAGUGCGAACAACGUGAAAGUGGGUGCUCUUCGGACGGGCACAGCAGGUACAUAGCCGAGGUCUGUUCGGCAGGUGAGGUCUUGCUCUAAUUGUCGCAACGAAAACAGGUCUUCAACCUAAGGGCCAUCGGAUCACACCGGGAGUUGUAGGGUCAGGCCCGGUGCCAAUCCGCAGGAAGGUGGGGAGGAAGUCAAGUCAUCAGUCUCCUUAGUAUCAGGUUGCAAACAUCUACAAUCCUCGGUACAAAGGGCUGCGUCGAAUAAGGGGGAGCGAAUCCCAGAAAGCCAAGCUCAUAUCGGAUCGGGGUAUGCAUCUCCGGCGGGCGAAUUUGGAUCGAGUAGUAAUCGCAGAUCAGAGUAUCCGGUAUGAAUUCCGGUUUGGGGGGGUACACCAGAGUGAGCGCCACGUGAAACUGGGCAUCCGCAGAAGCCGGUCGCUUAUCCCGGGGGGGGGGAGCCGUUGAAGGUGGGGCUCGCGAGUGGGGAGAAGUCGUAACAAGGUAGCCGUUCCGGAAGGAGCGAACGCAUCACCUCGAGGAUAAUCCGGAACCGAGGCUGGAUCACCUCCUUUCU
RNAcentral lists this ribosomal RNA (1538 nucleotides) under uncultured bacterium. RNAcentral describes it as "16S ribosomal RNA". It matches the Rfam family "Bacterial small subunit ribosomal RNA". The record is from RNAcentral.